Molecule: ribosomal RNA, 468 nt
Filed under: uncultured bacterium
Lineage: Bacteria
Description: partial 16S ribosomal RNA
Rfam family: Bacterial small subunit ribosomal RNA
Source: RNAcentral
GACGAACGCUGGCGGCGUGCUUAACACACGCAAGUCGAACGGAAAGGCCCUGCUUUUGUGGGGUGCUCGAGUGGCGAACGGGUGAGUAACACGUGAGUAACCUGCCCUUGACUUUGGGAUAACUUCAGGAAACUGGGGCUAAUACCGGAUAGGAGCUCCUGCUGCAUGGUGGGGGUUGGAAAGUUUCGGCGGUUGGGGAUGGACUCGCGGCUUAUCAGCUUGUUGGUGGGGUAGUGGCUUACCAAGGCUUUGACGGGUAGCCGGCCUGAGAGGGUGACCGGCCAAAUGGGGACUGAGAUACGGCCCAGACUCCAACGGGAGGCAGCAGUGGGGAAUAUUGCACAAGGGGCGGAAGCCUGAUGCAGCAACGCCGCGUGCGGGAUGACGGCCUUCGGGUUGUAAACCGCUUUCGCCUGUGACGAAGCGUGAGUGACGGUAAUGGGUAAAGAAGCACCGGCUAACUACGUG